GCCUACAAGCGGUUGGAGCACCUUCGGGUGUGACAGCGUGCCUUUUGCAUAAUGAACCUACGAGUUGCCGUCGCCGGCAAGGUUAAGAGCAAAGAUGCUCGGAGCCGAAGCGAAAGCGAGUCCUAACGAGGCGCCCAGUCAGCGGCGGCAGACGCGAAACCAAGUGAUCUACCCUUGUCCAGGUUGAAGUCCGGGUAACACCGGAUGGAGGACCGAACCAAUAAGCGUUGAAAAGCUUCUGGAUGAGCUGAGGGUAGGAGUGAAAGGCCAAUCAAACUUGGAGAUAGCUCGUACUCCCCGAAAUGCAUUUAGGUGCAGCCUCGGGUGUUCCCUACGUGAGGUAGAGCGACUGAUCGGAUGCGAGGGCUUCACCGCCUAUCAAGUCCGGACAAACUCCGAAUGCGCGUAGGUCAUAACCCGGGAGUGAGGGCAUGGGUGCUAAGGUCCGUGCCCGAGAGGAGAAGAAUCCAGACCGCCAGCUAAGGCCCCGAAAUAUGGGUUAAGUUAAACUAACGAAGUGCGGUUCCCGUGACAGCUAGGAUGUUGGCUUGGAAGCAGCCAUUCAUUCAAAGAGUGCGUAACAGCUCACUAGUCGAGGGACUGUGCAUGGAUAAUAAUCGGGUAUGAAACCCAUUGCCGAAGCUGCGGGACAUCAUAUGAUGUCGGUAGGGGAGCAUUCCAGUGGCGUUGAAGGUAUGAGGACAACUCAUGCUGGAGCAUCUGGAAAAGCAAAUGUAGGUAUAAGUAACGAUAAAGAGUGUGAGAUGCACUCUCGCCGUAAGACUAAGGUUUCCCGGGCAACGUUAAUCGGCCCGGGGUGAGUCGGGACCUAAGGAUAAGCCGAAAGGCGAGGCCGAUGGCAGAAAGGGUUAAUAUUCCCUUACUACCUUUAUGGGCGACGCGGAGACGGAGAAGUGAAACUCUCGCGUGCAGACGGAAUAGCACGUUAAAGAGUGUAGACGUAGAUUAGGGUAGGCAAAUCCGCCCUAAGAGUCGAACUUGAUAGUACACAAAGCCUUCGGGCAGCGUGAUAGCAGAGGUAAGCAGGCUCCCAAGAAAAUCCGCUAAGCUUUAACCAUAGAGGUACCCGUACCGCAAACGGACACACGUAGUCGGGUAGAAUAUACUAAGGCGCUUGGAAGAUUCACGGUUAAGGAACUAGGCAAAUUGACCCCGUAACUUCGGAAUAAGGGGUCCUCACGCGAGUGAGGCGCAGAGAAUAGGUCCAGGCAACUGUUUAACAAAAACACAGGGCUGUGCGAAAUCGAAAGAUGAGGUAUACAGUCUGACACCUGCCCGGUGCCGGAAGGUUAAGAGGAGAUGUCAUCGCAAGAGAAGCAUUGAAUUGAAGCCCCGGUAAACGGCGGCCGUAACUAUAACGGUCCUAAGGUAGCGAAAUUCCUUGUCGGGU
RNAcentral lists this ribosomal RNA (1411 nucleotides) under human gut metagenome. RNAcentral describes it as "bacterial LSU rRNA". It matches the Rfam family "Bacterial large subunit ribosomal RNA", at positions 562 to 1977 of the family's 2925-position model. The record is from RNAcentral.